CUUGGCUUGUUAACAAAGUGUGAUCUUACAAAUGGUCCCUGGCUGCUCUCCCUGGAAGUUGUGUGCAUGUAUGUUUGUUCUCCAUGUCCUUAGACAGCAACAAAGCAAUUGUUCCAACCAAUUGAAGUGGGAACAAGUUCAGAAGCCAUUAAGUACCAAUAUGAGGAUCUCCUCAGACGGCUAAAUUUACUAUUAACAGCACAACAGAGACUGAAGCCUACCCCAAACAGCUGGAACAUUUGCUAAGACAAAACUGAAAAAGUCAAGGUUUGACUUUAAAACUUAAAAGCAAAAAAUCUUCUGAAAAUUGUGUAAAUGGCAACCGUGGAUCACACUGUUUAACAGAUGCUAAAGAGAACUAACAAAAUAUUGGACAGGUCUGUGACAGGAUGUCAUGAAUCAACUUCCACAGCCAAGAAUGGACUUAUGAACCUAUUAAACUUGCAGUCUUUGGCUUUGAAGCAACAGUCAUCAUUGUUAAUUGCUAUUAUUUUACUCCCUAACAUUUUCAAGGGAAAGAAAAAAAAGGCACAGAGGAUUUAGUAAGAGCCAUUCUGUCCAGCUUAACACAAGGGAGUUACUUUCAUUUCUGAUAAAUAAAAAGUGUCUUAAAAUAAAAAGAAUAAAAUGU
Molecule: long non-coding RNA, 631 nt
Filed under: Anas platyrhynchos platyrhynchos (common mallard)
Lineage: Eukaryota; Metazoa; Chordata; Aves; Anseriformes; Anatidae
Description: lncRNA (ENSAPLG00000031227.1)
Source: RNAcentral